Molecule: RNA transcript, 3754 nt
Organism: Fragaria vesca subsp. vesca
Lineage: Eukaryota; Viridiplantae; Streptophyta; Magnoliopsida; Rosales; Rosaceae
Gene name: DEAD-box ATP-dependent RNA helicase 42-like
Exons: 2
Source: RefSeq, a predicted model, not a curated record
AACUUCUCAAAGACUCAAACCCUAAACCCCAAAUUGACCUCCACGCUCUUCUCGUCUCGAAAAAUCUAUUCGGGUAGAACCAGGCGAGUUGCUUACCUGGGUGCGGAACAGCAAACGGAUUUUGAGAUUCUGUUAAGGAGAAUUAACGGCUACGGUUACAAGACUAGCUUGCUAUCCAAGUAAGUACUUGAAUUUCUUGUUAACAUAGGAUUGCGGUUUCCUAUUCCCUCAAGGAUUUUAUGUUUAUAUAUUCUUUGCGUAGAAAGAAAGACCCACUUUGUUAUCAUUCGAUUGAACUCGCUAUUGAAGAGGUAACAAAUUUUGUUCUUGUGAUUUUUGGUCUUUUAGGGUUUUCGAUUUUUCGGUUGCCUAUACUGCUAUCAUAUACAAUAAACUGCCAUCACUAGGUAAGCUAUGGAAGAGCGGAGAUAUAAAUAUAGGAAGGAAGUAGCAUCUGAUAGGAGUCGGUAUUGCGAAAAGCAGAGGGACAAAGAUAGAAGUAGGAGAAACGGUGAGAGUCGACGUUUUGAGAGAGAGAAGAAUUGUGAUGAUGAGGACAGGUCUUGUUGGGAGAGGGAGAGAGCUAGAAAGAAGAAAAGGGACAGGGAACGAGAAAUAGAGGUAGAAAAUCAAAGGGGGGAGAGGGAGGAGAGGAAAAGGGACAUAAACCAAAGGAAGAGAGAGAGGAGUAAGGAUGUCGAUUGUGAUGAUUUCGUUGAUGAGGAUGUUAGGGAGCAUGAUACGAAGCGGCGUAGGAGAGAUGUUGGUGGUGCGAGGCCUAGAAAGAAUAGUGAAGAAGAGAACAAGGCAACACGCCGAGAGGAGUUAGAGGAUGAAGAUGAAAUGGAGAAGCGGAGGCGGAGAGUGCAGCAGUGGCAUGAGCGAGUAAAGGGAGAAGCUCAUGGCGACAAGUGUAUGGAAGGGAAUGUUGAUGAACUCAAGUCUGCAGAGACCUGGACUCUAUCUGAUGAUGAUAAUAAAGAAUUACGAGGUGAUUCCAUGUUGGUAGGUUCUGAGAAUGUAAGAGCUGCAACUGAGCCUGCUUGGCAGAAUGGAGAUGAUGCUACUGGGGAUGAGGAACUUGAUCCGUUAGAUGCCUAUAUGAAUCUUGUGGUUUUGCCUCAGGUUAAUGGUACUGACAAUAAAGAUAGAACAGACACAAAGCCAAGGAGAAUUCCAAAUAAGUCAAUAGGCAGAAUACUUCCUGGGGAGGAUUCCGAUUCGGAUUACGGGGACCUUGAGAAUGAUGAUGUUUCCUUAGCAAAUGACAACAUCAUGAAACCUGAGAAAUUUUCUCAAGUUGACCACUCAAAGAUACAUUAUCAACCAUUUCGUAGAAAUUUUUAUAUAGAAGUGAAGGAUAUCUCACGGAUGAGUGCAGAAGAGGUGUCUACAUACCGGAAUCAAUUGGAAUUGAAGAUAAAUGGCAAAGAUGUGCCAAAGCCCAUCAAGACCUGGCCCCAAACUGGACUAACAACUAAAACAUUGGAAGUAAUAAAGAAGCUCAACUUUGAAAAGUCCUUGCCAAUUCAGGCUCAGGCAUUGCCUGUAAUUAUGAGUGGUCGAGACUGCAUUGGCAUUGGAAAAACUGGAUCAGGCAAAACCCUUGCAUAUGUGCUGCCAAUGCUGAGGCAUAUCAAGGACCAGGCACCUGCUGUAUCUGGAGAUGGACCUGUUGGGCUUAUAAUGGCUCCCACGAGAGAGCUUGUUCAGCAGAUUCACAGUGACAUUAAGAAGUUUUCCAAGGUACUGGGUCUCAGGUGUGUGCCUGUGUAUGGAGGUGACGAUGUUGCGCAAAAAAUCGGUGAAUUGAAGCAUGGUGCAGACAUUGUUGUCUGUACUCCUGGUAGGAUGAUUGACCUACUUUCCAAAAAUGGAGGGAAAAUUACUAACUUGCAUAGAGUAACCUAUCUGGUUCUGGAUGAGGCUGAUCGAAUGUUUGACUGUGGUUUUGAACCUCAAAUCAGCCAAAUUGUUCAAGAUAUUCGCCCAGAUCGUCAGACUGUUUUAUUCUCUGCUACUUUCCCUCACCAGGUUGAGCUUUUGGCGCGCAAAGUCUUCCGCGUUCAAGAUAAACCUGUGCAUAUACAAGUUGGCGGCAGGAGUGUUGUGAACAAGGACAUAAUGCAAAUAGUUGAAGUAAGGCCGAAAGAUGAAAGAUUUUUGAGGUUGUUAGAGCUACUUGGUCAAUGGUAUGAAAAAGGAAAAAUUUUGAUAUUUGUACAGACCCAUGACCAGUGUGAUACAUUGUUUACGGAUUUGCUUAAGCAUGGGUAUCCUUGUCUCUCACUUCAUGCGGGAAAAGAUCAGACAGAUCGCCAGUCCACUAUAUCUGAUUUUAAGAGCAAUGUUUGUAACGUGUUGGUUGCAACAAGUGUUGCUGCCAGAGGGUUAGAUGUGAAGGAGCUUGAGGUGGUUAUCAAUUUUGAUGUUCCGAAUCACUAUGAGGACUAUGUUCACCGUGUUGGUCGUACUGGCCGAGCUGGGCGUAAAGGCUGUGCUAUAUCAUUUAUCUCUGUGGAAGAUGAGAGGUAUGCUCCCGAUCUGGUCAAAGCAUAGUAGCUGUCGGGGCAAGUUGUUCCAGAGGACCUGAAAUCACUUGCUAGUAAUUUUAUGGAAAAAGUGAACCAGGGACUUGAGCGUGCACACGGGACUGGUUAUGGGGGAAGUGGUUUCAAAUUUAAUGAAGAGGAAGAUGAAAUGAGGAAAGCAGCGAAGAAAGCACAGGCAAAAGAAUAUGUUUGCGAGGAUGACGUGUCAGACUUAGAAGAUGGAGAUGAUGGUAUCCAACAAGAAGGGGACGAUAUCUCACCGCAAGGUGCCCUUACUCAUAUACAAGCCAUUACUAAAAUCCCUGUUGUUGGAAAUGAUGGCACAGCUCGAGCAUUAGCAUUUGCAAAUGAUUUGAACUUGCUGCAUAACCUGGCAAAGAUGAAAGGAAUGCCAGAACACUAUGCAGAGUUGGAGAUAAAUGAUUUUCCUCAGACUGCUAGAUGGAAGAUUACUCGUAAUGAAACUCGUCAAUAUAUUUCAGAAUUGACUAAAGCUGCCAUUACACCCAAGGGGCAGUAUUUCCCACCAGGCAAGGUUCAAGGACCAGGAGAUCGCAAGCUCUACUUAUGUAUCGAGGGUCCUACUGAACAGUCUGUCAAGAAUGCUAUAGCAGAAUUAAAAUGUGCAUUGGAAGAUACAGCAAACCAGACAUUCUCACUUCCUGACAGAGCUGGGCAAGGCAGAUACCAAAUCAUACAAGUAAGUGUAAUAACUUAAUAACAGUAAUCAGUUCCUGGUUAGGUUUUCUUUGAGUUUCAUACUGAGUGGUUCUAGUUCACUGGUUAACUAAUCCUUUGAUAAUCUAUUUUUUGUUAAGCACGUUGAUUUUGUUAUCAAUUUGUCUUGCUUUUGACAAUGCUCUACCCCCCUGGUAAUGACUUCUUUUCUUCUUCUUCUGUUCAUGUUCCCAUGGUGCGACGUGAGGGGAGUUUCAAGCAUAUGCUCGGAUGUUCAAUAUCGUCUCUUCCCAUGACAUACCUCUACAAGAGAUCCUACCUCAGUCUCCUCAUAUUACUCUUGUUCUUGUUUGUUUGAUUUCUAUGAGUUUGGGGAUCUGUUAUUACUUUACUCAAAAACGGGUUCCUUUUUCUUUUUCAGGUUUUGUGAAUUCCUUCCUGGAGCCAAGUGCUGUUAUACAGAGACGCUGUUACAGAAGCAGUAAAUUACAUGUUUUGACUUUUUCCUCAUUUUUUUAUUGGGU